AUAGGGGGGGAUAACCUCUGGAAACUGUCGCUAACACCACAAAAUCUCACAACACCAAAGAGGGACACUUUCGCCCCUCUCACUAUCGGAAGAACCCAUAUGAGAUUAUCUAGUGCGCGGUGUAAUGGCCCCCCUGCGACAAUAUCCCUAUCUUGUCAGAGAAGAAAACCCCCCACACUGAAACUGACACACUGCCCACACUCCUACGGGACGCAACUGUGGAAAAUAUUGCACAGUGGGCGCACCCCUGAUGCCCCCGUGCCGCGUGUAUAAAAAGCGCCUUCGGUUUGUAAUGUAUUUUCCGCGGAGAAGAACGACAUGGGGUUAAUAACCGUGUCUAUUGACUUUCCCCGCAAAAAAAGCCCCGGCAAACUCCGUGCCCACCCCCGCGGUAAUACAGAGGGUGCACGCGUAUCUCAAAAUUAGUGGGUGUAAAGCGCACGCGCGCUGUCUGUUAUCUCAUAUGUAAACUCCCCGGUCUUAACCUGGAAACUGCUUUUGACUCUGGCGCGCUUGACUCGUGUAGAGGGGUGUAGAAUUCCAGGUGUAGCGGUGAAAUGCGUAGAGAUCUGGAGGAAUACCGGUGGCGAAGGCGGCCCCCUGGACAAAGACUGACGCUCAGGUGCGAAAGCGUGGGGAGCA
RNAcentral lists this ribosomal RNA (642 nucleotides) under Pantoea agglomerans. Its description in RNAcentral is "partial 16S ribosomal RNA". It matches the Rfam family "Bacterial small subunit ribosomal RNA", at positions 133 to 770 of the family's 1533-position model. The record is from RNAcentral. Lineage: Bacteria; Pseudomonadati; Pseudomonadota; Gammaproteobacteria; Enterobacterales; Erwiniaceae.